AGGAGGUGAUGAACUCAUGGAGAGUGGACAGAGACGCUGUGCUGAUUGUCAUGGCCUGAUUGG
RNAcentral lists this small nucleolar RNA (63 nucleotides) under Otolemur garnettii (small-eared galago). RNAcentral describes it as "Small nucleolar RNA SNORD43". It matches the Rfam family "Small nucleolar RNA SNORD43". From Rfam's summary of the family: U43 is a C/D box small nucleolar RNA that is encoded in intron 1 of the ribosomal protein L3 gene in human and cow. Three other snoRNAs ( U82, U83a and U83b) are also encoded in the same host gene but from different introns. Lineage: Eukaryota; Metazoa; Chordata; Mammalia; Primates; Galagidae. The record is from Rfam by way of RNAcentral.